UAGCGAAGAGGAUUAGAUACCCUCGUAGUCCCAGCCGUAAACGGUGCACACUUGCUGUGGGCGGAUUCGACCCCGUCCGUGGCGAAGCUAACGCGAUAAGUGUGCCGCCUGGGGAGUACGGUCGCAAGAUUAAAACUCAAAGAAAUUGACGGGGGCCUGCACAAGCGGUGGAGUAUGUGGCUUAAUUCGAUGCAACGCGAAGAACCUUACCUGGCCUUGACAUGUAGUGGACCGGGUGCGAAAUCACCCUUUCCUUCGGGACUGCUACACAGGUGCUGCAUGGCUGUCGUCAGCUCGUGUCGUGAGAUGUUGGGUUAAGUCCCGCAACGAGCGCAACCCCCGUGUUCUGUUGCCACCCGGAUGAGAAUCCGGAGCACUCUGGACAGACUGCCUGGUUUCAACCAGGAGGAAGGUGGGGAUGACGUCAAGUCAGUAUGGCCCUUACGGCCAGGGCUGCACACGUACUACAAUGCCUGAUAUAAUGGGAAGCGAGACCGCGAGGUGGAGCAAAUCCUCAAAAUCAGGCCCAGUUCAGAUUGUAGGCUGCAACUCGCCUACAUGAAGGAGGAAUCGCUAGUAAUGCCGUAUCAGCUACGACGGCGUGAAUACGUUCCCAGGCCUUGUACACACCGCCCGUCACAUCAUGAAAGUCGAUUGUACCCGAAGUCGCUGAGUUAACCGCAAGGAAACAGGUGCCGAAGGUAUGGUUGGUAAUUGGGAUGAAGUCGUAACAAGGUAGCCGUAGGGGAACCUGUGGCUG
RNAcentral lists this ribosomal RNA (760 nucleotides) under marine metagenome. RNAcentral's name for it is "bacterial SSU rRNA". It matches the Rfam family "Bacterial small subunit ribosomal RNA", at positions 766 to 1520 of the family's 1533-position model. The record is from RNAcentral.